GGGCGACACGGGCACUCAUUUGUGGGUCGCGCAAAGAAUCCAGUACGCCGCACACAACACACACACACACAGAGAAGCAGGCAUACAGAUAGACAGACGACUAAUCCAACGGGCUCUCCAUUGCUCUUUUUUUUCCUGUAUGUGUGUUUUUGAGGGGGAGGGGCCUCUUGUGAGGGUUUGCUUGUCCCCAGCGUCGCCGCGUGUAGACGACAUUAUUGCCCGAUACUCGCGGCGAUACAGAAAUCUAUAAAGUAACCGGGGCUGAACAGCUUGGAUGUGAGUCGGUGCCUUUGUUUGGCUUUUGAUCUCACGGAGCGAAGAGCAAGCAGUGCGCGAGAAGGGAGCACGCUUGUCAUCGCACCGAGAGGCAGAGCAGGCGGAGUCGGAACAAGCAAACAAGAAGGGGGGACGUCUUUUCCGCUGCUGCUCGACGGAUUAGAAGAUCAAAAGCUCGGUUGCCUUGCUUUGGUUCGUCCCUGGGCGUCAGGACUCUCUACGCACUCCCUGUACCCUUUCCCUGCACCCGGCUGCAGGAAAGCCCUCUACUCGUGGCAUUCGUGCACAGCAACAUGUUCCGUCAUCACGGGCGUCUCUGUGCGGCGGUGGCGGCUGCAGUGGCCGCAAAAGCGGGUGAGUCAGCAAGCAGCUGCUCCUCUAAAUCGUCGUCCCUCAUGCACGCGGUGGAGUCUGUCUCGCCGAUGCCGGUGUACUUGAAGCCGUCGAGCAGCCCACAGCGCAAGGCGAGCUUUUAUUUUCCCCGCAUGCGGGAGAAGUGCCCCCCGGACUACGCUUUUCAGCCCAGCUCGCUCGGGACAGCGUUGCCACUGUUCAGUAUCACGUCAUCCUCGUGCGAGUACUACGCCUUACGGCUGCCGCUCUUGAAGGCUGGGUUCCGCCGCGUCCCUGCAGAGGCUCGCGACGUGGCGAGCAACCUCGUGUGGGGACGCUCGAUGCGGUUCUGCGAGAUGCUGCGCGGCGGCCAGCCGACCCCGUUGCUCGACUUUCCCGCUGCUGAUUCGUCUGAGCAGGCAGCCUACAUGGACAAGCUUCGCAUGAUAAACUCUCACCAGCGGUACAACCACUUUCCCCUUAGCCACGCCAACCUCGGCUGCAAGCGAGGGAUGGCGGUGAAUGUGCGCCGGGCCUUCAAGGAUGCCAUGCAGCGUGCCACUACGCCAGGAGAGCGGAAGGCGGUGCAGUCGCGCUACAGCUACAUGCCACGCACCUGGUUCUAUCCACAGGAACGCGAGAGUUUGGUGACGGCCAUGAAGGCCGCACCCAGCAAUCGGCACUUCAUCUGGAAGCCGUCUCGAGGCAGCUGUGGCCGAGGCAUCUUGAUGUCGCAAGGCGGCACGGCGCACGCGCCGUCGUGGGAGCGCAUCAUGGAGGAGAUUGACUGUAAGGCAGCCUCUAAGGAGACUCGGCGGCUCUUCAGCAGCUACGUUGUGCAGGAGUACAUUGAGAAUCCUCUUCUUGUGGAGGGUCGGAAGGUGGAUCUGCGCCUGUACGUUGCUGUCACAUCCUACAACCCACUCACCGUCUACUGGCACGAGGAGGGGCUGGUGCGAUUUGCAGCUGAGCCCUAUAGCGACGCUACUAGCGCAUCAUCCUCGAGUAUCGACGGUGACGGGAUGGAAGUGGGCGACGGAGCCGGUCUACCAGGCGCUCUUACUGGUGACACGAGCCGCGAAAGCGCUGCUUCUCGCAAUAGGGGCGAUCACGACAGCGGCAGUGCGGCUCUGUCGGAUCACUGCCCAAAGCACAUGCACGACCGUUUCCGUCACCUGACAAACUAUUCGGUCGGCAGGCGUUACGUUGCCACGCAUGGCAACGGCCGUUCCGUGCUAUCCUUUCCGACGGAAACCAACGCGGUUGACGGGGAUGAAGCCGCACCUGCGCUCAAAUGGUCUCUCCAACGGCUGUGGGACUACAUUGAUGCUGGCGGUGGCAGUACUGUGACGAUCGGAACAGGAGUGGCACCGGCUCGACGCGCCUCCGAUGCGGUGCGCGAGGAAAUUGCCCAGCUGAUCACGCGCACCUUGAUGGCGGUUCGGCCUGUCGUCAACGAUGCUGUCCGCCGUGUGCCGAUGCCGGGCAGCUACUUUGAGCUCUACGGCUUCGACGUCAUGCUCGAUGCCAGCCUCAAUCCGUUUCUCAUUGAAGUCAACACGCUGCCGUCACUUGAGAGCAGCUCGACGUUCGACUACGCCACCAAGACGAACGUGGUGGCUGACCUGCUCAAUUUGGCCAUGCUAGAGCCGUUCGAGAGGAAUAUGGCACCAGGUAGCACGCUCUGGAACUCGUCCCAGCUGCGCGAAGACCUACACGGCCCCCUCGCAGCAAAGGAUGGGGGGCUUUUCCACGCUGCGGAGACGGGCGACGUCGAUGUGGUUGCUUGCGGCAACGCUGCUGUAGCCCGCGAGGACGUGGAGCUGCGCAUGAGGGACGAGCUUGCCUACGCCCGCGGCUUCCACCGCAUCUUCCCCGCGAAGACGCUUUCAGGGACGUCUUCGCAGCAAAUAAAAAUGGAAAGCUCAGCCAGCUUCUCGGGCUUGUCAGCACCACCGACUUUGCACCAGCCACUUGACUUGUUGGCGAUGUGCUCCUCCUACCUGGCAGACUUGCACGCGUAUGAGUCACAGGGCCUUCUCAGUGAGGAGGAUACGUGGGCGUUGGCGUCGUGAUCUUCUUGUUCUUUUUUGUUUUCUCAUGUCCGGUGACGACACUAAACCCAUGCGCACGUCUACACGCUCAUGCUACUUGUGCGCGAGUACCGCGCUGCGGCAUUUUUGCCCGGGCAACGAGAGGCGAAGAGGGAGCAUAGCGAGAUUGAGGGAAGAGAGUUUUUUUUUGGGGGGGGCCUUGAUCUUCCUGAAAUGUGCCUACUGUAGCUUGUGUGGUCCUUGCUUCCCUGAAGGGAUGCCGACGUCUUUCGGGUGGUGCAUCUCCCUUCCUGCUCACUCAGCAGCUCUCCGUGUGAAUGUUCGCCAGUACGCGUCUCUCUUUGCGCCUGUCAGUCUGUCUCUGAUGCUCAUCGAAAUCGGUGAGCCUGCGCCUCCUUUGCAAGCGAAUAUGUGGAAGGGUGGGCACGAUGAUUUUGACAGUGCGGCAGCGCGAUGGUGCCGCGAAGGGAGCAGGAAAGGAAGUGGGUAUGCCGGUGCAAGACACAGGCACAUGCAUCGUUCAAGGAGGAAGAGAAGGAGAGGCAUUCGAUGUUCCGUGGAUUCCUAAGUCUCUGCGUGCCACUUUGACUCCAGUCCGCGCUCUCUUGAUUUGCUAACGUGCCAUGUGAUCCCGCGAGGUGGACAUCUUUCUUGCCCUUCGCCCUACCGCCGCCCCGCCGCCUUUCCUCGCCCCCCCCCUCCCCCAACCUCUCUUCUUGUUGUGGUCAUGAAUGCUGCGAUGUGCUCUUACUACUUUUACCUUCCCCAUCCCUCAUCUUCACAG
This 3447-nucleotide unclassified non-coding RNA is filed under the name Leishmania donovani. RNAcentral's name for it is "gene:LdHU3.30.3100(CDS-product:tubulin-tyrosine_l igase-like_protein)". Lineage: Eukaryota; Euglenozoa; Kinetoplastea; Trypanosomatida; Trypanosomatidae. The record is from RNAcentral.